CCUACGGGGGACUGCAGUCGAGAAUCAUUCACAAUGGGGGAAACCCUGAUGGUGCGACGCCGCGUGGGGGAAUGAAGGUCUUCGGAUUGUAAACCCCUGUCAUGUGGGAGCAAAUUAAAAAGAUAGUACCACAAGAGGAAGAGACGGCUAACUCUGUGCCAGCAGCCGCGGUAAUACAGAGGUCUCAAGCGUUGUUCGGAAUCACUGGGCGUAAAGCGUGCGUAGGCUGUUUCGUAAGUCGUGUGUGAAAGGCGCGGGCUCAACCCGCGGACGCCACAUGAUACUGCGAGAAUAGAGUAAUUGAUGGGGAACCGGAGUUCGGGGUGUAGCAGUGAAAUGCGGAGAGAUGGAGAGGAACACGCGUGGCGAGGGCGGGUUCCUGGACAUUAACUGACGCUGAGGCACGAAGGCCAGGGGAGCGAAAGGGAUUAGAUACCCUAGUAGUC
RNAcentral lists this ribosomal RNA (446 nucleotides) under uncultured bacterium. RNAcentral describes it as "partial 16S ribosomal RNA". It matches the Rfam family "Bacterial small subunit ribosomal RNA", at positions 338 to 795 of the family's 1533-position model. The record is from RNAcentral.